AGAUUGAACGCUGGCGGCAGGCCUAACACAUGCAAGUCGAGCGGCAGCACGGGUACUUGUACCUGGUGGCGAGCGGCGGACGGGUGAGUAAUGCCUAGGAAUCUGCCUGAUAGGUGGGGGAUAACGCUCGGAAACGGACGCUAAUACCGCAUACGUCCUAUGGGAGAAAGCAGGGGACCUUCGGGCCUUGCGCUAUCAGAUGAGCCUAGGUCGAUUAGCUAGUUGGUGGGGUAAUGGCUCACCAAGGCGACGAUCCGUAACUGGUCUGAGAGGAUGAUCAGUCACUA
This 287-nucleotide ribosomal RNA is filed under the name uncultured soil bacterium. RNAcentral's name for it is "partial 16S ribosomal RNA". It matches the Rfam family "Bacterial small subunit ribosomal RNA", at positions 26 to 313 of the family's 1533-position model. The record is from RNAcentral.